Molecule: ribosomal RNA, 339 nt
Filed under: uncultured bacterium
Lineage: Bacteria
Description: bacterial SSU rRNA
Rfam family: Bacterial small subunit ribosomal RNA
Source: RNAcentral
UAACUGCCCGAAAGGGUAGCUAAUACCUCAUAGUCUCCGAUUUAUUCGGAGUAAAGAUUUAUCGCUUCGGGAGGGGCCUGCGUCCGAUUAGCUAGUUGGUGAGGUAAAUGCUCACCAAGGCGACGAUCGGUAGCUGGUUUGAGAGGGAUGACCAGUCACACUGGGACUGAGAUUACGGCCCAGACUCCUACGGGAGGCAGCAGUAAGGAAUCUUCCACAAUGGGGGGCAACCCUGAUGGAGCAAUACCGCGUGCAGGAUGAAGCGUUUCGGCGUGUAAACUGCUUUUAUCUGUGAUGAUUAUGACAGUAGCAGAAGAAUAAGGAUCGGCUAACUACGUG